UACGUAGGGGGCUAGCGUUGUCCGGAUUUAUUGGGCGUAAAGAGCGUGUAGGCGGCCAGGUAGGUCUGGUGUGAAAACUCGAGGCUUAACCUCGAGAUGUCAUCGGAAACCAUUUGGUUAGAGUCCGGAAGAGGAGAGUGGAAUUCCUGGUGUAGCGGUGAAAUGCGCAGAUAUCAGGAAGAACACCAAUGGCGAAAGCAGCUCUCUGGGACGGUACUGACGCUGAGACGCGAAAGCGUGGGGAGCGAACAGG
Molecule: ribosomal RNA, 253 nt
Filed under: uncultured bacterium
Lineage: Bacteria
Description: partial 16S ribosomal RNA
Rfam family: Bacterial small subunit ribosomal RNA
Source: RNAcentral